GGGGGCGCUCUGGAUUCGACGUUGGUUACAAAGCUAAAGGUGCAUGUCGAGAGUGUAUGAUAAUCUCGUAAAUAAAUAUCAUACAACAUUAUAGUCGCAAACGACGAAAACUACGCACUAGCGGCAUAAGCCCGCUUACACCAGAACUCGGGUGGCUAUAGCCGGGGGACGGUGGCAUCGUCUUAUAGCCUCGCCUCGCGGACUUCGCUCGUAGUCCAACGGGUCAAACUUUAAUCGAGACAGCUCUAAACACCCUGCCCCCCCCCCCCCCC
Molecule: transfer-messenger RNA, 272 nt
Filed under: Oleispira sp.
Lineage: Bacteria; Pseudomonadati; Pseudomonadota; Gammaproteobacteria; Oceanospirillales; Oceanospirillaceae
Description: partial transfer-messenger RNA
Rfam family: transfer-messenger RNA
About the family: Bacterial tmRNA, also known as 10Sa RNA or SsrA, is named for its dual tRNA and mRNA-like properties. Its role is to liberate the mRNA from a stalled ribosome.
Source: RNAcentral